UACGUAGGGUGCAAGCGUUGUCCGGAAUUAUUGGGCGUAAAGAGCUCGUAGGCGGUUUGUCGCGUCUGCUGUGAAAAUCCAGGGCUUAACCCUGGACCUGCAGUGGGUACGGGCAGACUGGAGUGCGGUAGGGGAGAUCGGAAUUCCUGGUGUAGCGGUGAAAUGCGCAGAUAUCAGGAGGAACACCGGCGGCGAAGGCGGAUCUCUGGGCCGUAACUGACGCUGAGGAGCGAAAGCAUGGGGAGCGAACAGG
RNAcentral lists this ribosomal RNA (253 nucleotides) under uncultured bacterium. RNAcentral describes it as "partial 16S ribosomal RNA". It matches the Rfam family "Bacterial small subunit ribosomal RNA", at positions 524 to 776 of the family's 1533-position model. The record is from RNAcentral.